GAUGAACGCUGGCGGCGUGCCUAAUACAUGCAAGUCGAACGAAACUUCUUUAUCACCGAGUGCUUGCACUCACCGAUAAAGAGUUGAGUGGCGAACGGGUGAGUAACACGUGGGCAACCUGCCCAAAAGAGGGGGAUAACACUUGGAAACAGGUGCUAAUACCGCAUAACCAUAGUUACCGCAUGGUAACUAUGUAAAAGGUGGCUAUACUACCGCUUUUGGAUGGGCCCGCGGCGCAUUAGCUAGUUGGUAGGGUAAAGGCUUACCAAGGCAAUGAUGCGUAGCCGAAUUGAGAGGUUGAUCGGCCACAUUGGGACUGAGACACGGCCCAAACUCCUACGGGCGGCAGCAGUAGGGAAUCUUCCACAAUGGGCGAAAGCCUGAUGGAGCAACGCCGCGUGGGUGAAGAAGGUCUUCGGAUCGUAAAACCCUGUUGUUAGAGAAGAAAGUGCGUGAGAGUAACUGUUCACGUUUCGACGGUAUCUAACCAGAAAGCCACGGCUAACUACGUG
RNAcentral lists this ribosomal RNA (512 nucleotides) under uncultured bacterium. RNAcentral's name for it is "partial 16S ribosomal RNA". It matches the Rfam family "Bacterial small subunit ribosomal RNA", at positions 28 to 507 of the family's 1533-position model. The record is from RNAcentral.